GGUGCCGUCGGGGUUAUUCUUGACGGUCCUGGGGUGCACGCCGCCGAUGGUGGAGAUGCCGCCGUUCUCGUAGACGUGGAUGUGCGAGUUGUCGCCGAGGAUGGCCUCGCUGCCCCUGACGUCGCAGUGCACGAGGACGGAGAUGAGGUUGCCCAUGGUGCCCGACGGCACGAAGAGCGCGGCCUCCUUGCCCAUGAUCGCGGCCAUCUCCGCCUCGAAGCGCUGCGCGGUCGGGUCGGCGCCCAGGACGUCGUCGUCGACGACGGCGGCGGCCAUGGCGGCCCGCAUCGCCUCGGAGGGCUUGGUCACCGUGUCCGACCGGAGGUCCACCACCUUGCUCGCCAUUUAGCUGGUGCUGCUCGAACAGAACCUCUAGCUACACUACAGCUCCCUCCAGGCCUCCACUGCAGCGGAGCGACAGAGUCGUCUCCCAAUAAAUUACACACGCCAAAGCUCACGAACGAAUUGGAUGCUCAACCACCACGCUUUGUCUUUGAGAUAUGGUUUGCUUUCUCCUUGAAAAUUGGCAAUUUUUUCGCGCUUUUGGAAGUAAUACCAGUAUGAUGGCUGAUGAUGCAUUGAUGCUCAUUGCACUUGUUUCCAACAGAACACAACACCAGCCUACACGCUAGAGGCCAAAAGGACCGCUCAGAGUCGCCACAGUCCAGGACGCCCGCUCGCUCCCAAACGAAGCAAACAGGCGAGGGAGUCAGGAGACGACUCCGACGUCGUCCUCCUCCACACGCACACGUCGACAACGUAUGCGUCCAGGUGCGCCGUGUCCAGACUACAGACUGCACUGGUCACUGGAAAGAAAGGGAUACAGAACAAAGUCUGAUAGUGAUCGCCCACGCCCAGCUACGAGCUACGGCGACGUGGCCCGUGUCACGCAUUCAGUCAGUUAGAAGUCUAUCAAAAUUCAAAAUGGGUAAAGACAAGAGAAAGAAUCGCACGGAUCGUUUGAGUUUACCUGCCGAAUUUGUCAAUCAUUUAGCAGUAUUUUCAGCUCCAAGAAUUAGAGGCCUGUAAAGAAGCAGGUGGUUUAUAAGAUUCUGCAAAGAUACCACAUCAAAUCUGUUGAAGUCCCUGGAUUAUCCGAUGAACACCAGUAAGCUGCGCUUAUGUUGAUGUUUCAUUAUUCUAGUCGUAUCUUUUUGUUCUGAACUUCGAUUUUGAUGAUCCCGAAAUUGUUGGAAAGCUUAUGAAAACAGUAUUGCUAUAUGUCAACCGGUUAAUUUAGGAUCAUCUCUCAACUUUUUUUUUGCUGUCGGAUGGCGUCCCAUCUGUUUCCUAGAGGGAGCCGGCUUUAGGCGGCCUGCUUGUCUAGUUGCGUGGUGCAGCGUGUAUGUGAGCAAAGGAGAGGGAGUUGCUCGUGGGGCCCGUGCUGGUUGCCAAGAGAGAGGUCGACGCUGUUUCCUUGUGCGCGGGCAUCUUCGGCAAGGGUGCCUCUUCCGGUUCACGGUUGCAAUGUUUGAAUUUUGUAUUUUUAAAAUUUUGUGAAGAAUUUAUGAAUAAUUUGAUAUAUAUUUCUCUGAUUUCUGGAAUCCAUAAAAAUAAUUUGUCAUUCUUUUUGAAAAUUUGACAUAUAUUUGUGUUAUUCAUAAAUUACACCACUCUUUUAAAUAAGUUAUACUGAAGAAAUUAUUGUAAAUAUAGUAAUAAGAUAGUGUAAAUACAGCUAUAAAACAAUGUAAGUGCAUAGAAAAAUUCAGUUGAUGGGAAGGACUAAAUCAACCGGUUGUUGGCUAGACAGAUCCUAUGAAAAUAUCUACAAUUUGAAUUUGAUAGUAUACCCAUUUGACCAGACAAAUCCAACUCAAUAAUCUCUUUGUCCCGACUUGUGCAUCCCUAUAAAUGGGUCCUUGUAACUGUGUUGUCGCUAAAAUCAUCAAAACCAUAUAUAAUCAUGCACAUUGGCUCAUAAUCCCAUACAACAUACCACUUUGCUAGCGGACUCACUAAAUAGCGAACGUUCAUCAGAUUUGAAUCUAGCGAACGAUCAUACAACCCCACGACUUUCCUUUUUUGGCAAAAAAAAGAAAUCCCGCAAUUUUCUAUUUUUGGAAAGUUUUCUAUUUUAGGCAAAAAAAUCGCUACUUUUCUUUUUUGAAAAUUUGUACUCACAACUUUUACGUAAAACUUAUGGAACAAACUUUUACGUAUAACUCAUAUACAUGACUUUAAUAUAUAUCUUCACUGUGACAAAGUUACACACAUAACUUAUACAUAUAACUUACUACAUGAUAAAGUUAUACACAUAACUUUUAUCUAUAAUAUUUUAUGGAACAAGUUUAUCAACAUAAUUUAUGACAAGACAAUUUAGCGAACGUUCAAAAAAGUUACAAUUAAAACUUAAGCAUAUAAUUUAAUUAAACCAAUUUUAACAUAUAAGUUAAUAACUGCAAGUUAAGCACAAAAUAUAAUAAAUAAAAUAGCUUUGCAAAAAGUUAGACAUAAAAGAUUAUAAUUAUAAGUUAAUAUCUACUAGUUACAUGUAGAAAGUUAGAUAUAAAAAUUGUGUACAGAAAGUUAGAUAUAAAAGUUACGUGCAAAAAGUAAAUAAUUAUAAAAUUUACAUCUAGCAUUUUAAAAUAAAUGUUUUACUUUUUUGUGACAUCAGCGGUGGUUAUGGAAGAGCACGCUAGAAGAGGAGGUAGUUUGAACCUUUGUUAUAUCAAAUUAAGUGAACGAUCGCCCAAAAGGGUUGACAACAUAUAUAAAAAGAAAAAAUUGAUAGACUUAUAUAAAAAAUAAAAAGAGAAAAAAAGGCAAAAGAAAAUUUUAAAAAUGUUUUAUUAGCUUUUGUGUUUUAAAGUUUUGGCAUAAGUUGUAAGUUAUAUGGUAUAAGUCAUAUGGUGAUAAGUUUUGCAAAGUGUUAUACCAAGUUGUUAGUAUAAUUUAUAGAAAUAAGUUAUAUUCUAUAAUAUAUAUGUAUAACUUAGUUACCUUCUAAAAAUGGAAAGUUGCGGAAAUUAUCAUUUUCAAAUAAGGAAAGUUGCGGGAGUAGCUGAUGGUUCGCUGGAUUCGUUACUAGUGAACGAUCGUGGAAUUGGAUUUGCGCUUUGCUAGUUAAGUACAAUGGCGCAUAAGUCCCUAUCAUACAAGUUUUUCACUAAUAUAGGGUCAUUAGCAGAUUUGUCACACAAAGAACCUCCCAUGCAAAACACUAGGUCCUAGGACAUUUGAAAUAGCAAUAAACAAGUAAUCCAUGUAAUCCUAAUCCCACAUAUAAACCAUAGGGCACCUAGCUUUCAGAUGGCUUUGGAAGAGCUCCUGGCCAAGUUAAGUCUUUUUUACUACGGGUUACAAAAGUUUAACAUAGAAAUAUGUUAAGUCCUCAGAAAAAGCUUCUGCCGACUUUGAUUUAUAAUCAGCAGAGGCUAUACCUGUUGAAUAUGCUUGCACAGAUACCCUAGCGGAAAAGGGAUAGCUCGACGGCCCUAAAAUGGCCCAGGAGGUCCGUGAUGUCAAAAGGGUAAGGCUAAGCACCCUCAUUCCCUCUCGCCUAGCCGGUGACAAAGCCAACGCAAAAGUCACGUGAAACUCACACCUGUCUCACCAUGAAGCCUCAACUUUUUCAUAAGAACCUUCCUUGCCUGGCGUCCGGCUUAGCUGUUUUUACAAAUUCCUUUAGUUUUAGUUUUACUAGAUAAGCCGCUCCACCAAACGAGUCAGAGUAUAAGCUAUGCCAACCAUACUUUUAUCUUACAUGAAUACAUGAUAAUAAGAUAUAUGUUGUUGACUUUCAUCCACCUUUUCUCCUUCAUGUCGUGCAUGACCACAGACUGCAUGUCUCUACAUCUCGUGCCUGACACGACACGAGCACAGAGUUCCUCCUAGUUCUAUCUUUACAUGAGCACAAUUUCUUCCCAAUUUAUCUUUAUACAAGGAUCAUACUAAAAACAUGUUUGGUUAGACGACCAGAAUGCAUUGUUGACCAUGCAGCAGCCCCAUACCAUUGAUUUCGAUCGCUUGGCAGAUGGGAUGGAUGCCUAUAGGAGGAGCUGCCUGCCAAACGACCGCAACAACUGAAUGUUUUGAAUUGGCCCCUCCUAGCAACUGAAUUUUGCCCAUAUACUUAUACUAUUUUAUUACUAUAUUUAUAAUGAUUUCUUUAGUGUAAUUUGUUGGACAGAGUGAUAUAAUUUGAGGAUAGCACAACUUCUACUUCUAUGGAUUGUAGAUCUCUGAUAAAUAUAUGUCAAUUUUUUUAAAAAAAUACAAAUUAUUUCUAUGGAUUGUAGAUAUCAGAUAAAUUUAUGUUUAUUAUUAACAAAUUGUUCACAGUUUCUAGAAAAAAAAUACAAAUUCUUCACAUAUCACAGACUGGAGGGGGUCGCGCCUGCAGCCGCAGCGGGGAGUGGCGGCGGACGAUUGGCCUGGGGGUCGACGGCGGAGGGAGGGCCGGUGCAUGCUUGGGGGGAGGGGGGGGGGUUGGAGGGAGGGCGAACGGCAAUAAAGCACGCCACGUGCCAGAUCCGACGGCCAAAAAUUCAGUUGUCAGAUGCUCCCAAAACAACCGGUUGCUCUCUAGCAAUUAUCUAUAAGUAAUAAGGGCGGCACUAUAACACAAGAAACAGUAUUAUCUGGGUCACAUAUAUUCUGCAUUGGCAAUGCUCUGUCUUUAACUUUCGAUGUCAAUGUUUUUGCUCGGUGCAUACAGCAUACAAAGCAUACAGUGCAUCUGUCUUCUUCUCGAGCAAAUUUCGUUGCAUCCCUCUUACCAAGAAGCGGAAACGGAUCAAGCAAAUUCUCGGAAGGUAAACUACAACACAAGAACGAACGCAUGCGAGUGAUGGGUGAACAGCUAUAACUAUCCAGCAAAGGUGUGGCUACAAUUUAACAGCUAGCGGUUUUUUUUAACAAACGGGCAAACGAGGAGUGUGCCUAUUUCAUUAAUAGAGAAGAGUUUUAACAGCUAGCGUUGAUCACAAACAAGCAGGGCACCAGGCUGACGUCUAGUGCCAAUAUGCGUUUUUGACAGUACCAUUUGUCAAGUGCUCCAACUUUGUACCGCCCUUCAAUAGCUCUUCAACAGCUUUCUGAAAACAAGGAAAAUGUACCGAUGAUGACCACACUAACAGACGAAGUGAAAACUGGAAGCAGUUCGAGGCUCCAAACUUUUGCGUACCUCGACACAUGUCAGUGCAUAUUGAACAUCGCUAUCUGAAAUUUGGUAAUGGACGACGAACCUGACACUGCAUGAUACGAAGUACAUAGCUCAAUGUGGGUAUCUAACUCUGCCCAUCAUUAAAGAUACUACUGUAACUGUUUAGAUUAAAGUCUGAUUUGCUAAUUGAUCAUAGAGUUUCUGUAAAAAUAGGGACAAUAACCCUUCUUAUUCUUUUAAAUAUAGGCAGCUAUGUUCUUUAAAGUGAAAAAAGGAAUAAUACUUCUUGACCGAGCCAUCGAGCUUAUCAGUCAAAAAAUGAAGAUAUGAUAAUGAAAAGGAGACAAUGUUAGGGGGUUUACAUUAUCACCAAUAGAUUUUCGAUAAAUGUGAUAUUUAUUCUUUUAUCAGUGAAGCACAAUAUAAUUAGUUUUAUCACCCAAAAAUAUCAGUGAUAUGAAUUGCCCACCAACUGAGCAACCCAAUAACUUGUAAACUUUGAAACUAUGUUUGUUGUAAUAUUUGGGACUGUGUUUACUACUUAACCAACGGAGUUUGAUAUUCACUCAUUGUUAUGUGUUGUUUUUUUGUGCUAACUUGUUUGGAGAGAAUCUAUAUGGUUUUCUGUGCAAAUUGACAGUCUUUUCUCCAAACUUUGGUAAAAAGAAACCAUAUCACUGAUAGAAUUUUGAUCCCAUUUAUCGGUCACAUCUAAUAUUUUCUAUAACAAGAAAAUAGGAGACUGAACAUACAAGGCCAUAUACGCUUCAUAUGUAGAGGCAGGGAUAUUGUCUUUAAAAUUCCAUUAUCUAAGAAAGGAGACUGAUCAUGUUACUCAGAGAAUGCAACUUCACCAUGUAAACAGGAAAUAAAGAAUGGAAUUUCACCUUUUUGAACUUGCUGGCAUUGCAAGCACAUUGCGCUGUUCCAAGACUUGGCAUAGCUUGUUCGGUGAAAUGCGUGGAUCCACGAUAUCGAAGAACACCUUAUACAAAGUAAAGGUAUGUCAUAUACUGGACCUUUUCAGUUUACAUUGUGGAAAAUAAGAAAAUAUAGCGCUUCAUCUUUUACACUGACCAUAUUGGUCUCAACCGAAGAUGAAUCCACUGUAAACUGUUUAAUUUUCUUCAGGCCCUCUAAUAUAAGAAAACGAAAUGGAGUUACAAGGUCAGGAAUAAAAGCUAACACAAGGAUUUAGUUUCUUUUCUAGAAAUACCAUGAAAAGAGCAGUGUUUUGUUUUCCUUGUAUGUAUUAGAUAGGAUGAAAAAAAAUGAAAAUCCUGGGUACUAACAAUAGAAGGUUUUUUUUUUGUCUGUUGGGUGUGUGUCAAGCAGAGGGGCUGUUCAGGGCUUGUGAACUCUGAAUAAUAACAAAAAUGAAGUGAAGCUAGACUGAAAAGAAAACUAUAAAUAAAUGAAACCUGCCAAGGCUUUCGCCUUCCUGUGAUCAUCCGCAAGCUUUCCCACAGUGUCGCGAACAGCAACAUAAGCAGCAGCACAAAGAACUCCAACCUGUCUCAUUCCACCACCUAGGGUCUUCCUAAGAAUUUUAGCCUGAAGGCAAUAUUUCAGGUUUCCACUAUAACAUGAUCUCUGCAGUUUUAAACUUAAAACAGAGAAGUUGAUCAGACCUUGUCAAUGAAGGCCUUUGAACCAACAAUAACUGAUCCGAUGGGCGCGCCUAACCCUUUAGAUAGGCAUAUCUGUAGUUCAUGUUUCAGAGAAACAGAAUCACCACUCAUAUAUGUUACCUGAAGCUCAUUCAUAUGCAUGUUGUAAAUUGACCGCACAAGCACAACCCAGCAAACUAACGACAUACCGAAACUGAGUCGGCAGCUUUUACAAGUCUAUGUACAGGAACUCCCAGCGCCUGGCACAGUAAAGCACACAGAGAUGUUAAUCCUCUAUUACCUAUGCCUGAAAGCAGAACAAUGCUUGGUUUAUACAGCUCCCUGCGACAGCGAGAAUGUUCAAGUGCUUACCACAGAGGCAUUGAAAAUACGAGCUCCAUCAAUGUGAAGCUUCAAGCCGUGGUUCACGGCAAUUUGGCCAACCUUGUCUGUGUAUUCUACGGACAAACAUUUCCCACCACAACUGCAGAAGAAGUAAGAAAUAUACAGAUUAUUACUUUAAGUAAAAAAAAAGAAAGCAUGAUAUAUAUGAAUUUGACUAGCAAGGUGAGCAGCAGCAGCUAACUCGAGCGAUGGACUCACUUGGCAUGUGUGUUCUCCAAGCAGAUCAACCUGGUCGUCGGGUACAGCAGCGCCCCGUCCGGGUUCCUAAUGGCGGCAAGAAUCUUAUCGACGUCCAUGGUGCCGUCGGGGUUGUUGGGCACGGUCCUGGGGUGCACGCCGCCGAUGGUGGAGAUGCCGCCGUUCUCGUAGACGUGGAUGUGGGAGUUGUCCCCGAGGAUGACCUCGCUGCCCCUGACGUCGCAGUGCACGAGGACGGAGAUGAGGUUGGCCAUGGUGCCCGAGGGCACGAACAGCGCGGCGUCCUUGCCCGUGAGCGCGGCCAUCUCGCCCUCGAAGCGGCGCGCGGUCGGGUCGGCGCCCAGGACGUCGUCGUCGACGUCGGCGGCCGCCAUGGCGGCGCGCAUGGCGUCGG
Molecule: long non-coding RNA, 7717 nt
Filed under: Sorghum bicolor (sorghum)
Lineage: Eukaryota; Viridiplantae; Streptophyta; Magnoliopsida; Poales; Poaceae
Description: long non-coding RNA (SBIC_LNC011322)
Source: RNAcentral